CCUACGGGAGGCUGCAGUGAGGAAUAUUGGUUAAUGGGCGGAAGCCUGAACCAGCCAAGUAGCGUGCGGGAUGAAGGCCCUACGGGUCGUAAACCGCUUUUGCACGGGGAUAACACCCUCCACUUGUGGAGGUCUGCAGGUACCGUGCGAAUAAGGGCCGGCUAAUUCCGUGCCAGCAGCCGCGGUAAUACGGAAGGCCCGAGCGUUAUCCGGAUUCAUUGGGCUUAAAGGGAGCGUAGGCGGGCGUUCAAGUCAGCUGUAAAAUCGCGCGGCUCAACCGCGCCCCGCAGUUGAAACUGGACGCAUUGAGUUCACAACAGGCAGGCGGAAUUCGUGGUGUAGCGGUGAAAUGCAUAGAUAUCACGAGGAACCCCGAUUGCGAAGGCAGCCUGCCGGGGUGCGACUGACGCUGAGGCUCGAAGGUGCGGGUAUCAAACAGGAUUAGAUACCCCUGUAGUC
Molecule: ribosomal RNA, 459 nt
Filed under: uncultured bacterium
Lineage: Bacteria
Description: partial 16S ribosomal RNA
Rfam family: Bacterial small subunit ribosomal RNA
Source: RNAcentral